RNAcentral lists this transfer RNA (21 nucleotides) under Aix sponsa (wood duck). RNAcentral's name for it is "partial tRNA-Met". The record is from RNAcentral. RNAcentral also lists the same sequence under 53 other names. Lineage: Eukaryota; Metazoa; Chordata; Aves; Anseriformes; Anatidae.
GUUCAACCCCCUCCUCUACUA